Molecule: long non-coding RNA, 179 nt
Organism: Branchiostoma belcheri (Belcher's lancelet)
Lineage: Eukaryota; Metazoa; Chordata; Leptocardii; Amphioxiformes; Branchiostomatidae
Exons: 3
Source: RefSeq, a predicted model, not a curated record
GACGUACCGGUCAGCUUCCGCAUGUCAGGGAUAUAUCUCGUUGCUAAGGCGUCGGAAAGUUCAGCCAGAGUCGAAAUAAAACCUCUGACGUCAUCUAUGGUUGGGGAAAUCGGGCCGGAUGCGCAGAAGCUGAUAGAGCAGUACCUGUGUCGUCAGGCCGUGCUACAAUGGUUUAACAG